Molecule: long non-coding RNA, 19725 nt
Filed under: Daucus carota (carrot)
Lineage: Eukaryota; Viridiplantae; Streptophyta; Magnoliopsida; Apiales; Apiaceae
Description: long non-coding RNA (DCAR_LNC003314)
Source: RNAcentral
CAAGAAGAGCAGUGAUGGACUGGUUUACGAUUCAUUCACUAUAUCAAGAGAUUAUAAAGAUGUCUUAGCAUGUGUACAUGAUAGCUGUGAGGCCACCACAGCAGCUUCAUAAAGCUAUUCCACUUCUUCCCUAGUAACUGUUUGAUAGAACUCUGUCCGAUAUCAGUGUUCAUCAGAUGUCAUACUACACUACUACUCUCAGUCUUUAAAUGUUAGGUUUACUCAUGAUUAAUUCUUCACAAAAUAUUUAUCAAAUGUUCACACAUUCGAAAAUUAAUUUAUUAUCAGCUCUGUGGUUUUCUGUUUCAUCAGAAACUUUGAUGCAGCUGAGAAGGAAAUACAAGGUCAAGGUGAACAAUCACUUUCAAAGAUAACAAUACACAAGGCUUUCUAUGCUUUGUGUCAUUCCUCUUCCAUUUAUGCCUACCCAUACUUGUCAUUUUUCUAUUACAUUUAAACCGUAUUUAAACUCUUAAUAAAAUAAUAAAUUUAAAUAAUACAUUAAUGUCCUUUAUCAUUUAUCAGAUGAUAGUAAUUUUUUUAUUAUGUCCUGAAUAAUUUGAUUUACUAGGACCAAAAGAGGAUUAAGCUCUCGGGGCAAUGGGUUGAUGUUAAUCAUUAAUGUAAUGUAAACCUUGAACAGGCAGAACCAUCUGGAGAUGACUGGGUUGAAGCUUUAUCUCCUGCAAAGUUUAAGUAAUCAUUUUAGAUCCCUAAUCACUACAGUCUCUGUUGAUUAUGAUAUUAACAACCGAUUCUGAAUCACGGAUACUAUCAAUACUAUUUGCUUAACGCAGGCAGUAAAAACUGAAAUGUUAUUAACAUUUGCAAGGUAAGUGUAUCUGACACAUACUCAAACUCAAGUAUUCGAAUGUGGCAGUGGAUCAGAUUGUUAUUGCGACAACGAUCCUAAGGAACAAAGUCCAUGGCUGAUCUUUGGUGCUCAUCGUGUACUUUGCGGUACUCUUCUGUGAAGUUGGGAGGGACCAUUUGCUGAACCCAUGGGAAGGGAAGGGAUCACUGUACUAAGAGGCAGCUCUAUGAUCUAUUCCAUAAUUUCUUAGUUAUUAAUUUUACUUUUUAUAAACAGCAUUGUCAGAUAUGGCGAAAGACAAAUUUAUCAGAUUAAGGUAAAACGAGGUUUAAAAAUAAUUCCCAUGCUUAACUUGUGAAAAAGAAAAUUGAACAAAAUGGCAUAAUCCAUAACUCAAUUGAUUAGGAUUUCUACAGUUGAUUUAUAGUAAAACAUGUAAUCAAGGAUUGUCAAAAACAGCAAUCGCGAGAAAACAUGAUACAAGGAUAAUACAAACUUGGUAUCAAUUAAUCCAGCAGUUUCAAGGUUAAACGGAUUCCAAAAGUUACAAGGGUAAUACAAACAGCUUCCUGAAGUUUCACAUAUUCAAGGCUGAACGGAUUCCAAAAGUUUCUCAUAUACCUGUCUAGCAGUCAUAUCUUCCACCUGAUAUGGUCAUCCAAAAUUAAGAUUAAUAUAAAAAGUAAUUAAGAUUAAUACAAAUAGUAAUUCUAAUAAUCAGGCGGACACCUUCCAUCAGUAAUUAAACUCCUUGACACAAGUAUAAAUAAUGCUGAACUGAGUUUGAGUAGGUGAUAAUCAGUAAAGAGUAAUGUGGAUAUCAACUUCUUCACAUCCGUAGUAAUUCUGGGUAGAGAGUUCAGAGUUUUCAGUGUCUUAUCAGUUCCAUUACCACCCAAACCCUUGCAUAAAUCUUUGCAUGACUUUAAAAUGAUCGUAUGUCUCCACAGAGACAUAGGUGAUGUGGUGACAAAAAACAGGUAACCACUAUAUCCAACCUUUUAAAGUACUAGGUGGACAGAGUAUUAACUAUGUGUUCCACUAUUUGCUAGAAUAUCAGCAAUCACAAGUUGAUUCCUACUCUAUAGAGCAUCACAUUAUAAAUGCUUGGAAACAGUGAACACAAGAACUGAAAAUACUUUUGUUACUCACCACAAGGAGCUUUGAUUUGCUAUUCCACCCUCUUUGAAGGGUCAUCUGGCUUAGUCUCAAACCCAACACCUAAUUCAAAUUAAAAAAAUGUUCUUUAUAUAAUUCUACAAAAUACUAGGCCAAACACUAAAAACAUGAAACCAUGCGGGACAUGAAUAAUGGGAUUACCUUUCCCAUGAAUUCUAGAAGUUCGUUAUUAGCUUCACCACGAGCUGCAGGCGCUGCUAUAGUUACGCGAACAUCAUCAGCAUUUACUCCUACAAAUGUACCAGGAGCAAAGAGGUUAUGAGUUAAUAGAAACACUUAUUAACUCUACUUAAAAGUUUUAUAGGAACAAGCAGAUGCAGAAAACAUCCAGUAAUAAAAAUCUUGCAUCUGCAUAAUGAACUGCAAUCUGCGAACAUAGACGGGAAGGAUAACUGCAAGAAUCUCUAGCAUGACUGGACUAGUUGACUAAUAGUUACAUGAUCUCAUCAGAGGCAUAGAUGUAUUAUCCCAAAAACUGAUCCAUUCAAACACAUGCUAUUUUACUGAUGCAUUGAUAAUAAAUAUUGAAAUAUGAGUUUACUUGUGACUGCAGACCGUUGUGCUCGGUCUUCCACUUCAAUAGCCACUUGAACUAGUCCACCUUCUAACUGCGAUAUGCAUGGUGGAACAGGGGCAUCCUAUGUCAUUGAAUGAGAAGGAGGAUCACAAAACUUGAAUAAAUUGCACCAAAAAAUAAUUAAAUUAUUUCAAAUACAACAUUCCAUUGCUCAAAAAUAUCUGCAUUUCAUAUCAUUAGAUGAAAACAAUGUAGCACCGAAGGUAAUUACUUGGGGGUUGGUUUCAGCAGCAACCGAACUUAGUGCACCAUCAACAACAUACAUGAAAGAGGCAGAUUCUAGAUCUUCCUCAGGGCAAUAGCAUACAAACAGCCCACAGCCAGUACAAUUCAUACGGAACUGCUUUUCCAAUUUUCCUUCGCCACUGUACAAAGAAAAUCACAGAUUGUUAAUAAUGAAAAUUUCAUUCUUAUACUAAAACAGAGACUCCCUGUCAAUACUUUGUCCAGCAAAAAUAAAAAUCUAGUCUUCCAAUAGUAUUGUAGUAUAACUGCUAGCAGAAUACAGAAAUAAUUGCAUAAUUGGUUAUUCAAAAUCCUUGCUUUGAACUUGCGCAUGACUUCUUAUAUACGAGUGAAUCAAAUGUUUGCAAUUUUAUGGUAAUAACUUAAUGGAGUCUUAUGUUGACAUACAUUCCUCUGCUAGCAAAUAAAAUAUAACUGCACUUAUUAAUUAGUCAAAAACAACGCUAACAGUCUGACAGUGAGAUUUGGAGAAGUUCAUUUUUAAAUAAGAACAAAAAAGGUAGGUACUUAUCUUUCUCUUGUUAGAGGAAACACACAAUCUAACAGUUUACACUCUUCCUCUCAUAGACAUCAAAUAUCUUUUUAUGAACACAAGAAAUUUGGACUUCAAAGGAAAGCUUCUACAUAGUUCAGUUUUGCUAUCAGUUUCCCAAAAACUCCUCACUAAUAAUUGAUGAUGCAAAAUAUGCAAAGCACACUCCACCGUGGUCGGUCAAUGUAAUAAUCAUAUACCUUACAACCUUUAUAAAUUAAAUUGCCAGGACUGCACAAUGCCACAAUUUAUUAACUUAGAGAGGUAUUAAUCAAUUGAUAGAUUAAUAUUUAUUAAAUUUAAGAGUAAACAUAAGUUAUUAAUGCAAAUGUUCUAUUUUAACAUUUUAAAUAUCAAAUUUGUUGAAUUAAUAUUCAUUUACUUGCAACAAUAUUAUAUUUUUGAUGAUAGUUAUGUAUAUGAUUUGAGAUAUUAAUAUGUUCACUGUAAUCACAGUAGAAAGAAUGUCAAUUACGCAUCAAAUUCCCCAGGCAAAAUAAAUACCAUCCAGACCGAAUAAGAUAAUAAGAAAAUAUAAAUAGCAUCCAUGAAAAUAAAGUUCAUGAUUAAUUUAUAUAUGAAAGACUUUUCCUCAAAUUAGUUACACAUAAAUUAGUUUCAAAGGAAUUUAAAUUUGAAGUAAAAUAUCUCUUAAAUCAUAUCUUUGUAUGGUAUCAAAUUUGAUAAUUUUUGACAUUGGCUCGAGUCAGAGAAAAUUAUUAUGUUGAAGAGGUUAUUCAUCUAUCGAGUAGUAAUUUAUGGAAGUUCUAGUGCCCUAUACGUUUCCUAUAUUAAUAGACCAAAAGAACGAAGUAAUCACCGUUUUAAUAGAACUUUGCCAGCCUCGUUAAUAUUAAGCCUCGUAAGAUGCUUCUUCUUAUCCAGAACAUAGGCCCUGUCAGUCUUCCUCUUGGGCAUUUUCUGCAAUUGAGUAUCUACAAACAAAUUUCAGUAAACCGAAAUAGUACAACUUCAAAAGUACAAUUUCAGCUUUAAGUGUAAAACUUUAGUGUAUGAUAACUUUAUUUAAGUAAUCAGCUUAUUAUCUCAAACACAAUAUUAUCAACCAGAGAAAUUCAAUUGAAUUUCAUAUACUUAGGUCCACUAUAUAUAUUCGUUAAUUUAGGUCUACUAUGUAUAUGUACACAAAUAUAGUGAAUUGUAAUGGCAAUCAAAAUUCAUUUACAUAUAGACCGGGGAGGAUGAGGAGAGAUGUGAGAGAGAAGAGAGAGAGAGGGUGGAGAGAAAGAGAGAGAUAAGAGAGGGAGAGAGAGAGAUAAGAGAGAGAGAGAGAGGAGAGAUAGAGAGGAGAAUGAGGGAGAGAGAUCGAACCGGUGAUGAGAACAUGAGAGCCGCAGUGUUUGCAGUAAUAAACAAAGAGAUCGGAGUCUGGACCGUCGGGCAAAGCAUCCUCGCUCGAAUACGUGUGGGUUGUUCUCUUCGGCAUCUCUCUCACACACAGGCCACAGCGCACAACAAUCCGGCUCCGUCUCUCUCUUUCUGCCCUUUUAUGCUGGCUAGCAUUAGUCCAUCCUUUCAAAGUCUUUUAUUUCAAAUUUUAUUUAAUAUAUAAACACAUAUUUAUUUUAAUUUUUCAUUAAAUAUAUAAAUAUAUUUUUAUCAGUUAUUGUAUAUCUAUAUUAUGCUGACAUGUUUUUGCUAAAAAAUUUAAUAAAUAAGUAAUUGUUCAGAUUUCCCUUAGCCCUUUAUUUUCUCAUCAUAAUUACUUUUUAUUAUAGAAAAUAUUUUAAACAAUGAGUUAAUAAGAUUUCUAAUUUAGUAUAAUAAAAUUAAGUCAUGUUGUUUGAAAAUAGUUCCUACCUCCUAAAUUAUUUUGUGGCAUUAUCAUCUUAAUUUGGACGGGUAAGUUACAUAAAUAUGUAAUACGAUUAGAUUUAUUUUACAAAAGUCAGAUAAUUUAUUUAAUAUUAUUAUUUUUGAUCGAAAUGGAUUUUAUUAACUCAAUAAAUCCCGACAGUGUCUCCAACAAAACAGAUGAACUGUUUUUUAACAUGACUAAGAAAUAUUCUAAGAUUACUCCUUAACACUCUCCACACUGCUGCAACAAAUCGCCAAACUGUAGCAAGUUACUCUGAUUCUGCUUAAUUGCAUUGACACUAAGCAGUGAAUCACUUUCAACCAGAAUGGUGCCUUCUGUCAUCUCCUGAGCCCAUAUUAAUGCCUCGAAAAUACCAGUAGACUUAGUCUCUGUUACAGAAACACCUCCUGCAAACUUCAGUGUUUUUCCUGCAAUAAACUGACCAUGGUGGUCUUUGAUGACCAUCGCCACCGCAAAGAAAUCCUGGCCCUCCACAACAGAAGCAUCAACAUUGAUUUUGAGUUGGCCCUCCCCUGGUUUCUUCCACUUAUGAUUAGUCCUGUCUGUAGUAUCUCCUUAAGUAUGAGUAGUGACCUGUUUGUUAUUAGUUGCCUGCCAGUUGCCCACAUGUUUCAAACACCAAGACUUGAUUAUACCAAGUGACAUGGUUUUGUUGUCAAAAACACACUUGUUUCGAGCAUACCAGAUUCCCCAGAAAACAGCUGACAUUGUAACUAAAUCCUGCAAUGGUCCAGAGGCAAGAAAUGAAACUAACCAUUCUGAAACAUGCUCCAUAUCGUGUGCUUCGAAGUUCAGCCUCAUCAAUUGCCAACAUUCUUUUGAAAAGCUGCAUUCAAAGAACAGAUGCCUUAAGUGUUCCACCUCACCUGAUAGGGGGUAACCUGAUUCAGCAAUACCCGGGUCCUUUAGAGGAGUCCAUACCCCGGGUGGCCGCCAACACCUUGGGACAUCCCCCAGGCUUACCAGGUCAUGCAACCCGGACAACAUAGUUUACCCGGACACCUGAGAACAUGCUACCCACCCGGAUACACUUGUACCAGCCGACACUUGCUGCACAAGUCACAGACUGACACAAUGAAGACAAAACAUAACGGUCAACUACUGGCGAUAGAGACAAGCCAGGGAACAUUCCAAAAUACUACUCCUACGCUGACACCUGGACACGUGUAGGGGAUCAAACCCUUACACGUGUAGGACCAGGAUCCAGGUACGCACCCUUAAACCCUAAUCCUUGGCCUAUAAAUAGACCAAGGAUCCAGAGUUUAAGGGUAACUUCACUCUCUACACUCACUCUUUGCACACACUCAAGCACUCAGCGUAAAUACAAACACAUACAGCCACCAUACAGCCAUCACAAAGCCACCAUACACCAACUUCACCCACCACAUAUAGAUAGCUUAUUUCCUGUUCAUACAUUCCGAUACCUGCACUCAUUCUCACGCCGGAGGCGCUGCGGGGCUCAAACCCCCCUCCGGUGUUGUUUUGCAGACACCCACCAGCAGCUACACCGCAAGACACCAGUGCACGGCGGAGGAGCUACCGGAACGGGAUCUGGAGUUAUCAUCACCUACACACAUUGGGCAACUGAUAGUAACUGGAAGCCCUUUUCCACGCAGCUUAUAGCGAACUGGAAUUGUGUUCCGACAGAUUCUCCAGAGAAAAACUCUUAUUUUGUGAGGAAUUGGCAGUCUCCAAAGUCGCUUCCAUCCCACUGAUAUAGAAGUCCGCUUUCUAGUACUCUGAGAUUUAGACCACUGAAAAUACGCUGAUUUCACUGUGUACUGUCCAUUACUGGUAUGAACCCAGGCAUUGUGAUAUUAAAUUUACUAUAUGUCACUUUUAAUAACAUACAAAAAUUAUAGAAAAAUAACACACACAUAUAGUUUGAAUUAUAAAUUCUGAUACAUUUUUUGUUAAAUAUAUAUUCUUAACAUAAAUAUUUUUGUUAUUUAUUAAAAUGAAUUAAUCUUUUACAUGUAAUUCGAAGAGACUAUAUGAAUGGUGAUCAAGCAUAUAAAUUAUUGGUUAAAAAAAUUUAAAACUUAUCUUAUUAAAAUAUAUAUAUAUAUAUAUAUAUAUAUAUAUAUAUAUAUAUAUUUCUAUUAUAGGGUAGUGAUCAAAUACAAACCACUAUAUACAAAGUAAGAGAAACUAGUCACAUCACCCAUCCCCUAGAUGCCAUCACCCACCCUCUAGAUGACAUUAUCCAUCUGGAGACCACUCUCGAGCCCCCUCAAUCCACCUUGGGCUCACUAGAGCCUCACCAAGGCUCUGUAGAGGCCCUAGAGGGACUCUAGACAAGUUGAAGAGCUAAUACUUGGCCCCACCCCUGUCCCGCUAGGCGUACCCAGGCCUUGCCAAGGUUCAGCUCAAGGUCCAUCGUCGAGGCCCACAAACCUUUCCAUCCUCUUAAAAUUUGUAUUUUAGUUUCUAUUUAGUAGUUUGUACUGUAGUAAGACUAUAUGUGUGUGUAUGUUAUGAAUUUACGGAGCUUUUAAGUUGUGAGAUAUCUAUAGUACUCUUGUAAUACUCCUUAUGAAGAUUAUGUUUAUUAUGAAUUAAUUUAAAUCGGAUGAAUCAGUUUUAUCCCUGAUCUUUAACCAUUUUUGAACCUUGUCGUACAUCAAGUGAUAUCACUAAAAUUUGCCUAUUUUAUUUCUACCCGAUUUGCUAGCCUCACCAUUUUUUGAGGGUCUAGAGAAUGGGCAGUUGGACACUUUGCUGACCGAUCUACAACACUUAAACAUUUUGCCUAGCCUCAAGUAUAAAUAUCUUUUUAUACAGAUCCCAUAGUACUUGAGGUUUUAGAUUUCUAAUUUGGACUAUUCCAUGAUAUCAAAGGCAUGCAGCGUGCUUAAAUCCACAUGGUCUUAAACUUGUAACUGUUAGAAGGCGGUUGAUACAAUGAAGAAUUGAGAAUGGAUAAAUUGCACAUUAUAUGAUGGAAAAUGCAUCAAGCGAACUAGCGAAGUCAUUUUAAGUUUUUUAGAGCAAGGGUCUUGAAGUGAAUUUAGAUGUAUAAUUUGCCUGGAGCCACAUAAUCAGGUAUAAGUAAAUAAUGUGGAGAUCGUACAAGAUCUUAAAGUUAUUCAAGAAUCACCCACAGACUGACAGACAAACUAAAGUAACUAGUACAACUUUGAGUACAUUGCUGCGAGGUUUGGUGAGCACGCAAAGGACUUGAGAUAUCAGACCUGCUUAUAUGAAUUUCGUGUAGUGUGACACCUACUUUUACUACUGAGACUUCUUUAUUUGAGGUGGUUUAUGGGGUGAAAUUAUAUUUAUUGAACUAGUACAUCACCUGUCUACUGAACUAAUGCAUCAUCUCUUCUAUAGAGAAAUUGUGAACUAGGUACCAAAAUCUGGGCAAGUGGCAGUUAUCAAGACUAAUGAAGAAACAAAUUAAGAAGAUUAAUGGGAAGUACAAAUGGGCUAGAACAAAAUUAGGCACCGAACAGAUUUUAAAGUGCGGCAUCUUGUUUAGCCUAAUUUAAAAAAUAAUGUUUUCCUAUUUAGCACAGAAACAAGCUCUUUCCAAGGGUGUCCUUUUAAGAAAAUAGAAAGUUCUGGUGAUUCUACUAACAAAAUUGACCUCCCUCUUGAUUAGUGACUAGUGGAGUUAGUGCUACCUUUAGUGUGGUGAUUUGUCUCCUUGUUUAAAAUUUGAACAUUGCAAAUUUCAGGACAUUCUUUUUUAAGGACUUAUCUUCUUGUUUAAGAAGAGAAUGAACAGGACAUCAAUGUUUAAGAAUCCAUAGUUACAUGCAGAAAUACGUUUAUUAUGCUUAGUAAUUCGAAUACAAAGGCAUACGAAGGUAUGUGGCCAUAGUCAUACGUUUUUUAAAAUCUUUUAUCAGGUCUUAGUGUCAGGUUGAACUAUUUAUAUACUGACUAGCAGUCUGUUGACAUAUUUAUCACUAGUUAUCAUCCAAUGUUCCUUUACCUUGGUAUGUUUGGGUAUGAAGCACCCUGAACAUCAGCAAUCUGUUCAUAAGGUUAACUGCCCUUUUUACAUAAGAAAUCCUCUCGGUAUGUUUGGAUGUGAAGCAUAGUAGCACUCUGUUAUAAUGUUGACUUCUUUCUGACAAAGAAAUCUAAAUGUGAGAGUGUGAGAUAAUGUUGCUUAAUAUAUUUAUGUUGUCACUCGUUUUUGGAGUCGAGAUUUGAGAACAUGCGUAAACUUAAGGUCUCUUGUGGACCAUUUUCAACUCAUUUCGUGGGUGGAAAUUAUUGUUAGAAUGUUAAGACUCAUAAUGCAGUUUCUUAAUUUAUUUAUAAGCGCACCAAGGUUUUCUGUUUGUAUCGGUAGGGAUUAGUUAUAUCAAUUUCAAAUCUUUUUAGUUGGCAGCCUAUCAUGUCUCAUUUUAUAUCGAUGAAAGUUGCAGGCAGUAUGAUGAAUAAUAUACCACCUGAUAGUGACCUGUACAAGGCAAAACGCAGCGAGGCUUCACAGAAAUACGAGAUGUAUGUGAACAUAAAUAUUACCUCUUUCUAUCACAUUUGGCACAAUACUAAUUCUUGUUCGCUUACAAAUUUCUUUAAUGUGUUCUCAGUUUGUUAGAUUUGGAGAAGCAACUUUCGUCCCUUUUUCCUAAGCCACAACUUUUGAACAAGUGAAUUUAGAAAUUACGGUGGACAUGUUGUGCAGACAGUACUUCCCCAAUAUUAAACUGAUGCCGAGCUUCUUCUGACUCUCAAGUCUCAUAUGGUUCAUAUGAAGAUGGAACAUGUAAAUUUAAAUCUUUGUAUAUGCAAUUCCAGUUCCUUGUAGUUGUAGUAUUAGAAUAAUUUAUGCUAAUUUUCUUAAAGUUCAACGCAACUUAUCCCUCUUGGUUAUAGUUGCAUAUAUUUUCUUUCAUCAAAGAAGUUGCGGAUUUCUUUCUUUCAUCAUAAGUUAUACAGGUUACAUUAGUAUGAGCUAGUAUCAGUUUUCGUUUGAUGUUAUAAAUAAUGUACAUAAUGGCGGAAUGUAAAUCUAGUUAACUUAAAAAACUGUACUAUGUUAUCAGAUGGUGAUGUUUAUUUGUUUCUUAUGGUUUUGCUGUACUAGACGGCCGCGCAUGGCUCAUAAUAAUAAUAUUGGACCAGGCCAGCUUUUAGCAAGUCAACUAUGUAUCUAUCAGCCACCCAAAAUCAUUUUCGGCACCAUGGUUGCACAACUGGAUCCGAAUCCAAGAGCCAACUAGUUGGUUCUUAUAUAUAAUAUAAAUAAUUUGAUUCUUAGCAAUUUAGUACAAAGUUAAGAGUGUAAACUCCAACAAUAUUCUCCCUAUAUCUUUUCUCUAUUUCAUAUUUAUUCAUAUUGAGCUCCACUAUAAAAAAAAAGGCAAGUGAAAUAAGAUAGUGGGAAAAGUUGAAGUGAAUUGGAGGGAAGGAAUUUUUUAUUUUGAAAAAAUAAGUUAAGAGUUAUGUGGUGGCUUCUAACUCUGAGGAGAGAGAAGAGAGAAAUAGGAGGUUCUUAAUGAUUUAAAGAGUCACUAAGAGUCUUUUGGAGUAAUUUUUUUUCACUUCCUCCUCAAAUCUCAAGUUAAGAGCUUAAAUGAAGAGUUUCCUGGAGAUGCUCUAAUUAUGUUAUACAAUUGCAAUUAAUUGGUUGAAAAAUACUAAGAUAAGUAGUUGAGAGUUGUAGAUAAUAUUUAUGCACCAAUAUUUUAAAUAAGACCAUAACAUAAAUUUAAAACUAUUUUGUGCACAAGGUCUCCGGUUGUGAACGACUGUAGAUCCAAAUUUGGAUCACUCUUUUUAAAAAUUAGAUUAAAUCGUGAAUUUUCAAUUUGACAAAUGUCACAUCCUGUAUCAUUAUGGGAUUAUAUGAUAAUCACGUCACAUCUAGGGUUCUUUUUGAAAAUGAAAAUUAGGUUAAAUCCCAAACUCUGUGAGAUUAUGUAAUAAUCAUGUCACAUAUCGAUUCCUUUUUGAAAAUGAAAAUCGGGUUAAAUCCCAAACUCUUGAAUUUUAACAAACGUCAGAUGCCAAAUCAUUAUGAAAUUAUGUGAUAAUUAUGUCACAUUCCAAGUCCUUUUUGAAAAUUAGGUAAAAUACUGAACUCUGAAUUUGACAAUAAAAUCAUGUUUCGAGUCUUUUUUGAAAAUUAGAAUAAAUCCUUAACUCCGAAUUAAAAAAUAAAUUGAAAUAUGCUUGUUAUAAAAUGCAAUAAUUUUGAUAAUUCAAAAGCCAACUAUCGGCUCCCAAAUUUUUGAUAUUAUUUGAUAGCAGUAUUUAUGUUUAUAAAUUAAAUUAAAAUAAUUGAUGGCAACACUUAUACUUAUGAAGUGAAUUAAAAUCUUUACACUCCUCCGCAUGAGAUUUGGGUGUUAUAGAUUCUCCAAUUUAAAAUUCCUUAUUUGAAUUCCUGUCCUUGUAAAGGCUGAAAUAGAUAGAUCUAGAACUUUCUAACUAUUAUGGAUACCAAUUGCUAUUGUGGCAUCAUAGUUUUUCUAGUCCUACCUCCUGCAACUUGACUAAUCAAAAUUUUGAGAGUUGAUUUUGAUACUAUAUGCCACAAGUCACAACCUAGAUCAAAUUAUGAGUAUUUUUUGAAUAUUGAGCGAAGUCGAAACUCUGAAUCCGAAAAUAUGUUGAAACAAACAAUUUGUCCAUCAUAAACUCUCAAAAUAUCAUGAUUUGUUGGUACAAUUAGUAAUCGUAAACAGUAAUUUAUUAACUGAAUUAAAAUUCUCACGUUCCUCCACCCAAAAUCUUCAAACUCGUUGACGACUUUCUUAAAUCUCCGCACACAAGUUUUCAAGGUCCUCGACGUUUGAAUGUCAUGUUACCAAAUAACAAAUGCAACCAAAAAUAUAUAAAUUUGUUUGAAUAAUAUAUAAAUAUAAGACAAUUGUAUGUAUUUGUCUAAUACAAAUUUAUAUACUAUAUACGAUAUAUUAUAUAUAAAAAUAUUCCGUGAAAAAGAAUGAGUAAAAAAUAGGUACUUAAGGUCCGGGUUCGGAUGUAUUAGGUCAACCAAAUCCGAUCCGAGUUUUUCGGAUAAAGAAUUGUACAUUAAAUUACAUGAAUACUUUGUGUUGCUAUUAUAUUAAACUUCAAUAUCUAUCAUCAAUAAAUAUUAGUAAAAAGUAUUCAUGGAUAAAAAUCCACAUCCCCGAAACCGAGAAAAGAAGAUAUAAUUAUAUCAUAAAUCCCUAAAUUAUAUAACUGUAACCAGUGUUGUAAAAAGCGGAAAUUGAACUUAAUCGAUAAGUCACGGAACAAGGAUUAAUUGGACAUUAAUUGAAUUGAUACGUAAUUAACCGGAUUGAUCGGUGAUUAAUCGGAGAUUUAAUCAGUUUGGCGAGAACUUGAACAAGAAUUGAUCGGUGAUUAUUAAUCGUGACUAAUUACCGACUUUUAGAACAGAGACUGUAACAGAUGAAUUAAUCAUAUUGAAAAAUUUAUUUGAUAUCCAAUUUUAUUUUUCAAUCUCAAAAAGUUACAUUUUGAUACGAAAAAGGGGGAAUGAUACGAUAGAGAGAGGGGAUGUAAGGAGAAUGACGCCAUAAAUUAUUUUACAAUAUUUAUCAACUUUAUCUUUAUUUAUAUGGUUAUAUAUAAAUAUUUAAUAUAGAAUUAAAAAAUACUCAGUAUGAGGAUAUAUUAAAAUAAUAAUAUAAAUUUAAUAAAAUAAGUGAUCUAAAAUACAUUUAUGUUAAGUAUAUUUAUCAACAUCAAAUCAAAUAAUAAUAUGAUAUUUUUAGAAAAAGUAUAACCCGAUUGCGGGUGUUGACCCCAUUAUCACUAUAUUCAUUAUUAAUAUCCAUAAUAUCACCAUCUGAAAAAAUGAUCUCAAAUAUUAUUUAUUAACGCAGCAUCGUGUAGCGUUUUGGAUAUUCAUACAAAACGCAACAUUGUUUAGCAUACGUAAAGCUAGUUUAUUUAUUUAUUUUACGUAGGAACUCGCAGCCGCUAUCUUACGGCUACGGGUGCCACUGGGUUACACAUGCUCAAAUAUUAUUUAUUAACGCAACAUCGUGUAGCGUUUUGGAUAUCCAUACAAAACGCUACAUUGUUUAGCGUUCGGUUAUGAUUAAAAAGAACGUAACACUUGUUUAUUUAUUUAUUUAUUUAUUUUACGUCGGAACCCGCAACCGUUACCCUACGGGUGUCACUGGGUAAACCUACGAACUCACGCAGUAGCAUGCAAAUUACGUGAAUCAUGUAAACUGCACUUAAGCGACAGGCUCUGGCCUAAGAAGACAUAAUCACAAAUUCUCCUCCGUUUAGGAGUCGAAUGUGUGACCAAGAGGAUGCAAGUCCCUUUUAAAACAGCUGAACUAACGUUAGUUUAUGUAACAUUCUUUGAGGAUUAAAAGAACAUAACACUACAUCAUCAUCUAGCGUUCAUUUAGCGUUUUGUUGAGGCUAAAAUUAACAGUUUUCUAAAUUGAAAAUACUAAUUUAUGUGAUGUUAAUGAGUGGUAUUUGGGGUCAUUUUCUCAAAUCCAUUAGUCCGGACAUUCUUCAUUUUGACACUGUCUGAGAAUUAGUGGUUAACAGUUAGCUAUUAGUGGAUUGAAUUAAAUGAUUUGACUAGCUGAUCGAAAUUGAAAUUUUGACUAGCGGAUUAAAUUAACAGUUUCUUGUAAAACUGUUUGGUAAUAGCCGUUUGAUCAGUUUUUAUGACACAUAUCGAAAUCUCUAACCCAAAAAAUUCUUCAAAAUAGUUUUUUGAAAAUUAAUAUUUGAGGUCAAAUCACUAUUUUAAUCCGCUAACUACCAAACACUAAUAUUAACAAUUAGAAUGAUCAAACUUUUAAAAUACCCCAAAUUUCUAAUUUUAUCCCGGCCUAUAACUUCAAAACACGGCACUCGUAAGAUCUUGGACCAUUUUCCCCUGUGCCAAGGCGUUGAUCUUAACGACCCACUGGCCACUAAUAAUUUAUUACUAAAAAUUCGUAUUUUACACUUCACCUCACAAGAACUACCGGCAUUAUUCUGGUAAGCUUAUAUUCUAACUCUCGCAGUCAAAAACAAGAAUAUCUCCCAGGAAUCUUCUCUCCAGAAGACAUAUAAACACAUGUCAUAGCUUAACAUCAUCGAUUCAUCGGAGACUCCAACGAUGAAGAUAUUGCUUAGCCUGGUGGCUGUCUUAAUAUUCAUCAGAAGCUGUGAAUCAGUAAUUCAAGGAGAGCAGCCACUUUCCAAGAUAGCAAUCCACAAAGCUACUUUUGCUCUCGCUCAUUCCUCAUCAAUCAGAGCUCACCCCCCUUUUCUUGGUUUGAAGGUAAUAAAUAAUAAUACGAACUUGAGCACGAUUGGAUAGCCCACGCAGUUAAGGAUUUAUUGUCAGUUAUCUCAACUCGAUAGUUUCUGAGAACAGAUACUUAAUUGUAAGGCUAUAAGCGUUAUUAGUCAAAAAUUAAUAAUACUAACUUACUAACAUGCUCUACUCGUUCUUGUGUUGUUUUUCGGUACGGAAGUAUUUUAAGUUGUUUGAUCGGAUAGUUUUGUAAAUUAUUUUGAUUUUUUUUUCCUGAAUUGAAGUAAAAUUUAAAGAAUAAUUAAUAAAAUUAUCCGCUCAAUGCACUUUAAAAUAGGAGGUAAAGUCAAAUUUAGGCUAGGGCGUAAGUUUAAUCUGAAUAAAUGAAUAAUUUUGAUAUAUGAAUAAAAAUUUUCGGUCUGGAUGGCAUUUAUAUAUGGAGGUUUAACUGUAUAGCUUCUUCUGUUCAUGGUAUCAGUAUGUAUACUUAAAAUGAGUAGCACAAUGUAACUGUGAUUUCUUUACAUUUAGCUGUUAAGUCAUCACAGGAGCGCUGUUAGGGGAAAUGUGUAGUUUGUUACUAGGGAUUAUCUUAUGCGGUAGGAAUGGAAUGAAAACUUGUGGACAGAAUUGCAGUCGGAAGAGGGAAGGUACUGGAGAGAGUGUUACAUUUUUUUAUGAUGGAAUUUAUAUAAGAAACGAGUAUGAAGUAGGAUUAGGUACUUACCCAAUAUGACGGGAUUGAAAUAUAGUUCAAAAUUAGUUAAUGUAUGUCAUGGUUAUGUGCUAUUAGUGGAAUGGAGGUAUGAACGAAAAUUAUAGUUAUCAUCAAGGUCUCAGGCCAAAAGAAUGUAUGUUAUGGUUAUGCGCUGAUAAUUGCUUCCUUCUGGAAUUCGAUAUUGUAUGUAGAAAUUAGCAUAAAGUUGUAACUUAAUUGCUUUUGAUUUGGGUGAUGACAGGGUGAGGAUACUCAAUGGGUUAAUGUGGACCUUGAACACGCAGAACCAUCUGAAGAUGACUGGGUUGGAGUUUUUUCUCCUGCAAAGUUCAAGUAAUUAACAGAUCUCACACCACGAUAGUUACGACAGAUUUUCAUAUUGAUAGUAGUAUGUUCUGAAUGGUCGAUAUAUUAAGUAUUUCAUCCUAAAGCUAGGUUGUAACUACUGGAAUUGUGUUUGCAUUUGAAAUUUAACCGUAUUUAACACAUUACACCCUCAAAUACUUGAACGUGGCAGUGGAUCAGAAUGUUAUUACGAGAACGAUCCCAAGGAACAAAGUCCAUACAUAUGUUCAGCCCCUAUAAAGGUAUGUAUACUUGAGUCUUGCUAUGACAUAGGAUAUAUAUAGGUGAACCAUUUAUUGGUGUCUCUACUAGUAAUUUACAUUGAUUGAGUCCCUAAUAAUGGGAAAGUGAAGAUUAAAAUGUCCUAAUUGCAGUACACAUAUGCAAAUCAAUCCACUUCCAAUUACACAAAGACAGGCAGGGCUUCAAUUAAGUUCCAGUUAAUCAAUCAGCGAGCAGAUUUCUCAUUUGCAUUGUUCUCAGGCGGUUUGUCAAAUGUAAGCUUGUCUUAUGCAUUUCUCUUAACUGAUUUCAUAUGAUUCAGAUAUCUAGUUCCUCUUUAUAGCUGUUUUUUUGUUGGAUCUUUGUGCAUUUCAGCCACUUCACAAAAUCUGUGGAGUCCUUUGUGAUGGCAUGACAUUGACUAAUUACAUUUUCACUAUUGCAGCCAAAAGUGGUCGCUGUUUCAGAUCCCAUUAGAUUUAUUAACCCAAAAGCUCCCGUUUAUCCUCGCCUUGCACAGGGAAAAUCCUGGAAUGAAGUAAGUUCAUCUCAUCCACCAGUUCUGGCAUAUUUUUGUUUACUGGGACAUGCGGCACCAUCUUGCUUGCGAACAGAUACAUUACCAUCUCUUGUUUAUCUAGAGUUAUUAUUAAGGCUGCGUGACUGCUUGAGGAAGUUCCUCUGUGACCGGACACAUUAUUAUUUUUUGUUUCUCGGAGUUACUAUAGUAUCUUAACUUGAGUCUGCUUGACUGCUUGAGGAAGUGUCUGUUUAUAUUAUAUCACAAAAUUCCCUAAAGAGAACUAAAUCAAGUGAAUAACUUAUCAUACAACAAUUUCUUAGCCCAUCUUUUACUGAUUGCAGAUGACAGUAACAUGGACAAGUGGCUACAACAUAGAUGAAGCCAUUUCUUUUGUCGAGUGGGGUAUGAGAGGACAGUCACGAAGGCGCUCGCCAGCAGGAACAUUGACUUUCACGCGCAACAGCCUGUGUGGUAAAAAAUUCUAAUCCAUGUAAAUUAGAAAAGUGUUUACUUGAGACUGCAUUAUCUAAGACAAAAAUUUUCAAAUAGAUCAACGUCCACGGGCCUGCUUUACAAUUAAUCAAUGUGUAGCUAUUCUCGGAAUCCAUAUCAUAUCAGAAAUAUAUAUAUCUGAAAACAGAAAUCAAAUGCAUGCUAAUGCUUUUUACCCAUGAUAUAAAUCUAGUAAAAUUGAAGCUUGAGAAUUAAGAUAACAUAACAUGGGUUAUUAUAUUUAUGAAUGAAAAAGAAAUGGAGCAAUGUCACUUUUAAAAACCCUUGUAAUUUAGCACUAGUAUUCAUUUGUUAUAGAACAUCACAAAAUAGGGGCAGCUUUGUCUAUUUUGUUACCGCUUCAAUGAUAUAUUGAUAUAUAUGCAUAUAUGUAUUACUUGCAUAGUAUAUCAGAUUUAUUAGACUUGUUUGAAUCCACUGAUUGCUUGCCUGGCUUCUAUUAAUACAGCGUGUCUUUAUAUCUGUAGGCUCGCCUGCACGGACAGUUGGUUGGCGUGAUCCUGGAUUCAUACAUACAAGUUUUUUAAAGGAUUUGUGGCCAAAUAUUAUGUAAUCAAUCUGAGAUUCCAUUAGGAUCUGCAACAAGCAUCUUUAAAACUUCGCAUUAUGUCUUUUUAAAUGAUUUAAUGUCUUGACAACUUUUUGCAGGUACACUUACAGAAUGGGACACAUGUUAUCUGAUGGAUCAUAUAUAUGGAGCAAGACAUAUUCAUUCAAAUCAUCACCAUAUCCUGGUCAAGAUUCCUUACAGAAGAUUGUAAUAUUUGGAGACAUGGGAAAGGUAGUCAGCUUAAACUGAACACUGAUACUGAUUCUUGCACAAUGCUAACUAAAUCUUUUUUAAUAGGUAAAAGUCAUUCUGCAUUAUCCAACUGAAAUGUCAAAUCAAGCUAAAACAAAUAUGUAGCUAAAAUUUUUUGAUUGCAGUUCCUGCUAUCUUAUCAUUAUAUAUCGAAAUGAAUAUUUUGGUAUAACACGAUAUCCAGUCUGUUGCAUAUAUGAAAAUUUAAUUAACAAUACAGGUUGUAUCGACCUCAGAGUAAUUUGAUCAUCUUUUGUGUAUUUCAGGCAGAGCGUGAUGGUUCAAAUGAGUAUAGUAAUUAUCAACCAGGAUCACUUAAUACAACUGAUCAACUGAUCAAGGACCUUGAGAACAUCGACAUAGUUUUCCAUAUUGGAGAUUUGUCAUAUGCAAAUGGAUACAUCUCACAAUGGGACCAGUUCACAUCGCAGGUGGAACCUAUUGCAUCAACUGUGCCAUAUAUGGUUGCUAGGUAUGUCCUACAUAACUAUAUGGAGACUUCUCAAUUAAUUCUGGACCUUACGUCAAACUUGUAUUUGCCCAUAAAAGCCCUAUUUGCAAAAUUUCUACAUAAAUUCCGUAAAUUACAUUUACUAGUGAAUAUGAGUUUUUAGGGUGCAUUACCGGCAUAUCAAUAUAUUUCGCUAUUAAAUUUAAUGACAUAGUCUUAUAUUAUCAUAACUGAAAGUUUAUUAUUAUUAUUUUUUUUGGGGGUGGGGGCAACAAGAUUUAGAGAAUUUCUUCUCUGGAAUGGAAGAGUUAUAAUUUCUAAUUUUUUCUGCAGUGGAAAUCAUGAGCGUGACUGGCCUGGAUCAGGAUCCUUCUACAAUACUGUGGAUUCAGGUGGAGAAUGUGGCGUUUUAGCUGAGACCAUGUUCUAUGUUCCUGCAGAAAACAGAGCAAAAUUCUGGUAUGGAUUAUUGCUUCUAAAAUGAAGUCACACUUAGCUGUAGAAAAGGAAACAGGAAAAAGUUUUCUUCCUCUUGAACUUGAAACACCUGAAGUGUUUUCAGUUAUAUUUACAAUGCUUCAGCACUUAGUCAUGGCACACAGUCACUUGUGUGAUUUUUGUCAUAUUAAAGCUAGAUAUGUCUUGUUGCAGCACAUAUAUGUAGUUGGCAUAUGGUAGGAUUACGACUUGCAAGCCUGUGUGCCACAGUUUUACUGUACUUGUCAGUUUUCCAUAUAAAGUUCGUAAAUGCUGUCCCUCACUAGUAUCUAUGUUGAAUUUUUUAGAAAAGGAAUUGGUUAUUUUACUUGUGCAAAAUGUGUCAACUAUUUUUAAAAAGUGAAAGGUUACCAGCACCGAUCCAGUUCAAUAUAUUGUAAUCUGGUGUUACACUAGCUGUAGCUAUAUAACUUUUUUAUUUAUAUCUAUAGAAAGCUUUGACACAAAUACGGCUGGGGUAUAAUUGCAAGGUACUCGACUGAUUAUGGGAUGUUUCACUUCUGCAUAGCUGAUACUGAACAUGACUGGAGGGAGGGUUCCGAGCAGUAUUUGUUCAUUGAGAAAUGUCUUGCAUCAGUGGACAGACAAAAGCAGCCCUGGCUGAUCUUUGCUGCUCAUCGUGUCCUCGGGUACUCUUCCGACAAAUAUUACGGCCUGGAGGGAUCAUUCGAAGAACCAAUGGGAAGGGAAAGCUUGCAGAGGCUCUGGCAGAAAUAUAAGGUGGACAUAGCAUUUUAUGGACAUGUACAUAACUAUGAAAGAACUUGUCCUAUAUACCAGGUAGAGAUAUUUUCUACUUUUACUCAUUUGGAUCACUCAGACUCUUUUACUUCUGGCUUAUCUUUAAUCGUCCUUUUCUUUUGCUGGUCCUGCAGAACCGAUGUGUGAACUCAGAAAAAUCCAACUAUUCUGGCACAAUGAACGGAACAAUCCACGUCGUUGCAGGUGGCGCGGGGAGCCAUUUAUCUGAAUUCAGUGAAGUUCAAACCAGUUGGAGUCUUUACAAAGAUUAUGACUACGGAUUUGUUAAACUAACAGCAUUUAAUCACUCGUCCUUGUUGUUUGAGUACAAGAAGAGCAGUGAUGGACUGGUUUACGAUUCAUUCACUAUAUCAAGAGAUUAUAAAGAUGUCUUAGCAUGUGUACAUGAUAGCUGUGAGGCCACCACAGCAGCUUCAUAAAGCUAUUCCACUUCUUCCCUAGUAACUGUUUGAUAGAACUCUGUCCGAUAUCAGUGUUCAUCAGAUGUCAUACUACACUACUACUCUC